RNAcentral lists this long non-coding RNA (1384 nucleotides) under Equus asinus (donkey). Its description in RNAcentral is "lncRNA (ENSEASG00005035363.1)". The record is from RNAcentral. Lineage: Eukaryota; Metazoa; Chordata; Mammalia; Perissodactyla; Equidae.
GUUCCCCAGAGAGGCAGGCGGGCAGGAGCUGCAGGGGCGGUGGGUGCCAGGCUGGACAAAGGCCCAGGAGGCUGGGGAGCAGGGGGCAUGGCUCGCUGCGGGCCCCUGGGGACAUCUGAUCCAGGCUGGGGCUGUGUCUGCAUCUGGGUGACCUCAGGGCCAAGUGGCUGUCCGUGAGAAUUCCCAGGUGGCUAGACGACAAGGGGCCCCAGCGCUUCCCUGGAGGGCUGGCCUGCGCCAUCGUUGGGGGCUCCCCCAGCCACUUGCCCUUCUCCUUCAGGAAUCUCAGGGCUUCCAGGGAUCCCUAACACAGCUCCUCCAGGUCCUGCAGAGCAUUUUGAAGCCCGAUGCCUCCAUAGGGACAUUUGGAGACAGAAAAGCAGGAGUGGAAGAGAAAGCCGAGCGCAGCGGAGGGAUGCUACAUAAAGGCAACGGUGACCAUGGACAGAGGGCUCCCUCCCGUGCCAGGCACGAUCUGUCACCCGGAGCUUCUCACCUAGUUUUGCAAUAACCACAUGGGGUGUGGUGUCACGUCCACUUCACAGCUUUUAAAAUAGAGCGGGGAGAAAGCAAACCAGUGGAGGACAACGACGUUGAGAACGGCCUGCGGAUGGCGGCUGGGCAGCGCCGGGUCUGAAGAAUCGCUGAGAGAGGAGACGUGGCAGCAGGUCAGGUUCUCUGAGCGGCUCUCCAAGGAGGUACCACCGUCUCCUCAGUUCAUCUGUGCUCUCCGGCAAGUCCAAAGUCACCCUCAGAACACCGAGGCUGGACACAACUCCCCCGUGCGCCUGCGGGGCCACACCUUCUCAAGUCCCAUGAGCCCGAGCAGGAGGGGAUACUGUCUGCUUUGUCCUUUUUGUUGCAAUACAAUCUCACAGUCUCAGGGAAGAUGCAAGAAUUGUGCAAAAAAAGAACUCUCAUGUCCCCUUCCCCAGAUUCUCCCAUCAAUAACAUUUGCUUUCUCUCUCUCUCUAAACACAGAUAAAUAAAGAUGCAAGAUAGAAAGAGAGAGAGAGAGGUUUUUUCCCCUGCGCCGUCAUAGAUUAGGUCGCAGAAACCACACCUCUUCACUAAAUAUCUUUGCUUGAUAUCUCAGAGUAUUUCCUAAGAACAAGGACUUUGUCUUAUGUAAUCACAGCACAAUUUUCAAUAUCUGGAAAUGUAACGUGAACAUGGGACUACUACGGAACUCCCAGUUCACACUUACAUUUUGCCAAUUGUCCCCCCAGGCCGGGCUCAAAUCCAGGACCACGUUUUGCACUUACCUGCCAUGUCACUUUAGUCUCCUUUCACCUGCCUUUCUUUGUCUUUCAUGAUUCUAAGUUUUUUGGUAAGAGAACAGGCAGGUUAUUCAGAAUGUCCCAUAAUCUGCAUUUAUUUUACG